UGGAGGGGAGAGUGGCGAACGGGUGAGUAACACGUAGGUGACCUGCCUCGAAGACGAGGAUAACCGCUGGAAACGGUGGCUAAUACUCGAUGGUCUCGAUAAUUCGGUUUAUCGAGUAAAGGCUCUGGCGCUUUGAGAGGGACUGCGUGCCAUCAGCUAGUUGGUAGGGUAACGGCCUACCAAGGCGAAGACGGGUAGGGGGCGUGAGAGCGUGACCCCCCACACUGGCACUGGGACACGGGCCAGACUCCUACGGGAGGCAGCAGUGAGGAAUAUUGCGCAAUGAGCGAAAGCUAGACGCAGCAACGCCGCGUGGGUGAUGAAGGCCUUCGGGUCGUAAAACCCUUUUCUGGGGGAAGAGUAAGGACGGUACCCCAGGAAUAAGCCUCGGCUAACUAUGUGCCAGCAGCCGCGGUAAUACAUAGGAGGCAAGCGUUAUCCGGAUUUACUGGGCGUAAAGAGCGUUGAGGCGGCUUCGUAAGUUGGACGUGAAAGCUCCCGGCUUAACUGGGAGAGGCCGUUCAAUACUGCGGGGCUUUGAGGGCAGCAGAGGGGGGUUGAAUUUCCGGUGUAGUGGUGAAAUGCGUAGAUAUCGGAAGGGAACACCCAGUUGGCGAAGGUGGCCCCCUUGGGUUGUCCUGACGCUGAAGGCGAAAGCUAGGGGGAGCGAACGGGGAUUAGAAACCCCGGUAGUCUUAGCCGUAAACGAUGGAUACUAGGUUGUAGGAGGUUAAAAUUCCUUCUGUGCCGGGAGCUAAGGCGUUAAAGUAUCCCGCCCUGGGGAGUACGUUCGCAAGGCUAAACCUCAAAGGAAUUGACGGGGGCCCGCACAACAAGCGGAGCCGUGUGGUUUAAUUUGAUGCAACACGAAGAACCUUACCAGGGCUUGACAUGUAGGUAGUAGUGAAGCGAAAGCGGAACGAUCCUUCGGGAAGCCUACACAGGUGUUGCAUGGCUGUCGUCAGCUCGUGCCGUGAGGUGUUAGGUUAAGUCCU
Molecule: ribosomal RNA, 995 nt
Filed under: uncultured organism
Description: bacterial SSU rRNA
Rfam family: Bacterial small subunit ribosomal RNA
Source: RNAcentral